Molecule: ribosomal RNA, 447 nt
Filed under: uncultured bacterium
Lineage: Bacteria
Description: bacterial SSU rRNA
Rfam family: Bacterial small subunit ribosomal RNA
Source: RNAcentral
CCCCAGACUCCUACGGGAGGCAGCAGUGGGGAAUAUUGCACAAUGGGGGAAACCCUGAUGCAGCAACGCCGCGUGAAGGAAGACGGUUUUCGGAUUGUAAACUUCUGUUCUUAGUGAAGAAGAAUGACGGUAGCUAAGGAGCAAGCCACGGCUAGCUACGUGCCAGCAGCCGCGGUAAUACGUAGGUGGCAAGCGUUGUCCGGAAUUACUGGGUGUAAAGGGAGCGUAGGCGGGAUGGCAAGUUGGGUGUUAAAUCUACCGGCUCAACUGGUAGUCGCACUCAAAACUGCUAUUCUUGAGUGAAGUAGAGGCAGGCGGAAUUCCUAGUGUAGCGGUGAAAUGCGUAGAUAUUAGGAGGAACACCAGUGGCGAAGGCGGCCUGCUGGGCUUUUACUGACGCUGAGGCUCGAAAGUGUGGGGAGCAAACAGGAUUAGAUACCCCCGUAC